Molecule: transfer RNA, 87 nt
Filed under: Nostoc sp. NIES-3756
Lineage: Bacteria; Bacillati; Cyanobacteriota; Cyanophyceae; Nostocales; Nostocaceae
Also listed under: 2 other names
Description: tRNA-Ser
Rfam family: tRNA
About the family: Transfer RNA (tRNA) molecules are approximately 80 nucleotides in length.
Source: RNAcentral
UGGAGAGGUGGCAGAGUGGUCGAAUGCGUCCGACUUGAAAUCGGAUGAAGUGAAAACUUCCGGGAGUUCGAAUCUCCCCCUCUCCGU